RNAcentral lists this transfer RNA (87 nucleotides) under Betaproteobacteria bacterium. RNAcentral describes it as "tRNA-Leu". It matches the Rfam family "tRNA". From Rfam's summary of the family: Transfer RNA (tRNA) molecules are approximately 80 nucleotides in length. The record is from RNAcentral. RNAcentral also lists the same sequence under 1 other name. Lineage: Bacteria; Pseudomonadati; Pseudomonadota; Betaproteobacteria.
GCCGGAGUGGUGGAACAGGUAGACGCGCCGGACUCAAAAUCCGGUGCCCGAAAGGGCGUGCGGGUUCGAGUCCCGCCUCCGGCACCA